AGUCUGCAACUCGACUGCACGAAGCUGGAAUCGCUAGUAAUCGCGGAUCAGCACGCCGCGGUGAAUACGUUCCCGGGCCUUGUACACACCGCCCGUCACACCAUGAGAGUCUGUAACACCCAAAGCCGGUGGGAUAACCUUUAUAGGAGUCAGCCGUCUAAGGUAGGACAGAUGAUUAGGGUGAAGUCGUAACAAGGUAAC
Molecule: ribosomal RNA, 201 nt
Filed under: uncultured bacterium
Lineage: Bacteria
Description: partial 16S ribosomal RNA
Rfam family: Bacterial small subunit ribosomal RNA
Source: RNAcentral